This 492-nucleotide ribosomal RNA is filed under the name uncultured bacterium. RNAcentral describes it as "partial 16S ribosomal RNA". It matches the Rfam family "Bacterial small subunit ribosomal RNA", at positions 29 to 507 of the family's 1533-position model. The record is from RNAcentral.
AGUGAACGCUGGCGGUAGGCCUAACACAUGCAAGUCGAACGGCAGCACAGUAAGAGCUUGCUCUUACGGGUGGCGAGUGGCGGACGGGUGAGGAAUACAUCGGAAUCUACUUUUUCGUGGGGGAUAACGUAGGGAAACUUACGCUAAUACCGCAUACGACCUACGGGUGAAAGCAGGGGAUCUUCGGACCUUGCGCGAUUGAAUGAGCCGAUGUCGGAUUAGCUAGUUGGCGGGGUAAAGGCCCACCAAGGCGACGAUCCGUAGCUGGUCUGAGAGGAUGAUCAGCCACACUGGAACUGAGACACGGUCCAGACUCCUACGGGAGGCAGCAGUGGGGAAUAUUGGACAAUGGACGCAAGCCUGAUCCAGCCAUACCGCGUGGGUGAAGAAGGCCUUCGGGUUGUAAAGCCCUUUUGUUGGGAAAGAAAAGCAGCAGGUUAAUACCCCGCUGUCCUGACGGUACCCAAAGAAUAAGCACCGGCUAACUUCGUG